Molecule: unclassified non-coding RNA, 287 nt
Filed under: Malassezia restricta
Lineage: Eukaryota; Fungi; Basidiomycota; Malasseziomycetes; Malasseziales; Malasseziaceae
Description: partial internal transcribed spacer region
Rfam family: Eukaryotic small subunit ribosomal RNA (bases 1-46)
Source: RNAcentral
AAGUCGUAACAAGGUUUCUGUAGGUGAACCUGCAGAAGGAUCAUUAGUGAAGAUUUGGGCAGGCCAUACGCACGCCAAAAAAGUGUCCCUGGCCGCCUACACCCACUAUACAUCCACAAACCCGUGUGCACUGUCUUGGAGAAAGGCUUCUUGAGAAGUUUUGUGGCCUCUCUUGGGGUCUUUCUUCGCUACAAACUCGAAUGGUUAGUAUGAACGUGGAACUUGGUUGGACCGUCACUGGCCAACAAACUAUACACAACUUUCGACAACGGAUCUCUUGGUUCUCC